UAGAGUUUGAUCAUGGCUCAGAUUGAACGCUGGCGGCAGGCCUAACACAUGCAAGUCGAGCGGUAACAUUUCUAGCUUGCUAGAAGAUGACGAGCGGCGGACGGGUGAGUAAUGCUUGGGAACAUGCCUUGAGGUGGGGGACAACCGUUGGAAACGACGGCUAAUACCGCAUAAUGUCUACGGACCAAAGGGGGCUUCGGCUCUCGCCUUUAGAUUGGCCCAAGUGGGAUUAGCUAGUUGGUGAGGUAAUGGCUCACCAAGGCGACGAUCCCUAGCUGGUUUGAGAGGAUGAUCAGCCACACUGGAACUGAGACACGGUCCAGACUCCUACGGGAGGCAGCAGUGGGGAAUAUUGCACAAUGGGCGCAAGCCUGAUGCAGCCAUGCCGCGUGUGUGAAGAAGGCCUUCGGGUUGUAAAGCACUUUCAGUAAGGAGGAAAGGUUAGUAGUUAGUACCUGCUAGCUGUGACGUUACUUACAGAAGAAGCACCGGCUAACUCCGUGCCAGCAGCCGCGGUAAUACGGAGGGUGCGAGCGUUAAUCGGAAUUACUGGGCGUAAAGCGUACGCAGGCGGUUUGUUAAGCGAGAUGUGAAAGCCCCGGGCUUAACCUGGGAACUGCAUUUCGAACUGGCAAACUAGAGUGUGAUAGAGGGUGGUAGAAUUUCAGGUGUAGCGGUGAAAUGCGUAGAGAUCUGAAGGAAUACCGAUGGC
This 712-nucleotide ribosomal RNA is filed under the name uncultured bacterium. Its description in RNAcentral is "bacterial SSU rRNA". It matches the Rfam family "Bacterial small subunit ribosomal RNA", at positions 1 to 716 of the family's 1533-position model. The record is from RNAcentral.